GGAGCGAGACGGAAGCAGCUCAGGAGACUUGAGGCGUAGGCUGCGGUCCCCAAGGUGACCGCGCCCUAUGUGGGACUCGCCCUAAUGCCUCUGAACCUGGGUUUGAGGUGCAGCAUGCCAGCAAGCAGAUCACUGCAGAUAAGCAAUACAAAGGCAUUAUAGACUGCGUGGUCCGUAUUCCCAAGGAGCAGGGAGUUCUGUCCUUCUGGCGCGGUAACCUGGCCAAUGUCAUCAGAUACUUCCCCACCCAGGCUCUUAACUUCGCCUUCAAAGAUAAAUACAAGCAGAUCUUCCUGGGUGGUGUGGACAAGAGAACCCAGUUUUGGCGCUACUUUGCAGGGAAUCUGGCAUCGGGUGGUGCCGCAGGGGCCACAUCCCUGUGUUUUGUGUACCCUCUUGAUUUUGCCCGUACCCGUCUAGCAGCUGAUGUGGGUAAAGCUGGAGCUGAAAGGGAAUUCCGAGGCCUCGGUGACUGCCUGGUUAAGAUCUACAAAUCUGAUGGGAUUAAGGGCCUGUACCAAGGCUUUAACGUGUCUGUGCAGGGUAUUAUCAUCUACCGAGCCGCCUACUUCGGUAUCUAUGACACUGCAAAGGGAAUGCUUCCGGAUCCCAAGAACACUCACAUCGUUAUCAGCUGGAUGAUCGCACAGACUGUCACUGCUGUUGCCGGGUUGACUUCCUAUCCAUUUGACACCGUUCGCCGCCGCAUGAUGAUGCAGUCAGGGCGCAAAGGAACUGACAUCAUGUACACAGGCACGCUUGACUGCUGGAGGAA
Molecule: small RNA, 775 nt
Filed under: Pan troglodytes (chimpanzee)
Lineage: Eukaryota; Metazoa; Chordata; Mammalia; Primates; Hominidae
Description: processed transcript
Source: RNAcentral